Molecule: non-coding RNA, 24 nt
Filed under: Arabidopsis thaliana (thale cress)
Lineage: Eukaryota; Viridiplantae; Streptophyta; Magnoliopsida; Brassicales; Brassicaceae
Source: RNAcentral
AUUUCAUCCAGUUAUUUCAUCAGU